Molecule: ribosomal RNA, 549 nt
Filed under: uncultured Glomus
Lineage: Eukaryota; Fungi; Glomeromycota; Glomeromycetes; Glomerales; Glomeraceae
Description: SSU rRNA
Rfam family: Eukaryotic small subunit ribosomal RNA
Source: RNAcentral
UUGGAGGGCAAGUCUGGUGCCAGCAGCCGCGGUAAUUCCAGCUCCAAUAGCGUAUAUUAAGGUUGUUGCAGUUAAAAAGCUCGUAGUUGAACUUCGGAAUCAAUGGAUUGGUCAUGCCGUUGGUAUGUACUGGUCAUAUUGGUUCUCACCUUCUAAGGAACCAUAAUGUCAUUCAUUUGAUGUUUUGGGGAAUUAGGACUGUUACCUUGAAAAAAUUAGAGUGUUUAAAGCAGGCUAACGCUUGAAUACAUUAGCAUGGAAUAAUGAAAUAGGACAUCGCAUUCUAUUUUGUUGGUUUCUAGGAUCGAUGUAAUGAUUAAUAGGGAUAGUUGGGGGCAUUAGUAUUCAAUUGUCANAGGUGAAAUUCUUGGAUUUAUUGAAGACUAACUACUGCGAAAGCAUUUGCCAAGGAUGUUUUCAUUAAUCAAGAACGAAAGUUAGGGGAUCGAAGACGAUCAGAUACCGUCGUAGUCUUAACCAUAAACUAUGCCGACUAGGGAUCGGAUGAUGUUGAUUUUUUAAUGACUCAUUCGGCACCUUACGGGAAAC